GACGAACGCUGGCGGCAUGCCUAACACAUGCAAGUCGAGCGAGUAGAUCCCUUCGGGGUGAAGCUAGCGGCGGACGGGUGAGUAACACGUGGGCAACCUGCCUCAUAGAGGGGAAUAGCCUUCCGAAAGGAAGAUUGAUACCGCAUAAGAUUGUAGCUUCGCAUGAAGCAGCAAUUAAAGGAGCAAUCCGCUAUGAGAUGGGCCCGCGGCGCAUUAGCUAGUUGGUGAGGUAACGGCUCACCAAGGCGACGAUGCGUAGCCGACCUGAGAGGGUGAUCGGCCACAUUGGGACUGAGACACGGCCCAGACUCCUACGGGAGGCAGCAGUGGGGAAUAUUGCACAAUGGGGGAAGCCCUGAUGCAGCAAUGCCGCGUGAGUGAUGACGGCCUUCGGGUUGUAAAGCUCUGUCUUCGGGGACGAUAAUGACGGUACCCGAGGAGGAAGCCACGGCUAACUACGUGCCAGCCGCCGCCGUAA
This 478-nucleotide ribosomal RNA is filed under the name uncultured bacterium. RNAcentral describes it as "partial 16S ribosomal RNA". It matches the Rfam family "Bacterial small subunit ribosomal RNA", at positions 28 to 523 of the family's 1533-position model. The record is from RNAcentral.